AGUGAACGCUGGCGGUAGGCCUAACACAUGCAAGUCGAACGGCAGCACAGUAAGAGCUUGCUCUUACGGGUGGCGAGUGGCGGACGGGUGAGGAAUAUAUCGGAAUCUACUUUUUCGUGGGGGAUAACGUAGGGAAACUUACGCUAAUACCGCAUACGACCUACGGGUGAAAGCAGGGGAUCUUCGGACCUUGCGCGAUUGAAUGAGCCGAUGUCGGAUUAGCUAGUUGGCGGGGUAAAGGCCCACCAAGGCGACGAUCCGUAGCUGGUCUGAGAGGAUGAUCAGCCACACUGGAACUGAGACACGGGCCAGACUCCUACGGGAGGCAGCAGUGGGGAAUAUUGGACAAUGGGCGCAAGCCUGAUCCAGCCAUACCGCGUGGGUGAAGAAGGCCUUCGGGUUGUAAAGCCCUUUUGUUGGGAAAGAAAAGCAGCAGGUUAAGACCCCGCUGUUCUGACGGUACCCAAAGAAUAAGCACCGGCGAACUUCGU
This 491-nucleotide ribosomal RNA is filed under the name uncultured bacterium. RNAcentral's name for it is "partial 16S ribosomal RNA". It matches the Rfam family "Bacterial small subunit ribosomal RNA", at positions 29 to 506 of the family's 1533-position model. The record is from RNAcentral.